AUGCUGACCGCUGUGAGGGGAGCCCAGCUGCUCAGCCGCCUCGAUGCCCUGCGCUUGCACGCGCACGCACACACACACACUCGCACACACAGACACACAAGCGCGCGCACACACUCGCACACACACACACAGACCCGCGCGCACAAACACAGACAAGCGCGCGCACACACACUCACACAGACACAAACACGCGCGGACACACGCGCACACACUCGCACUCGCGCCCCGAGGGACUCAGCACAACGCAGGGCGGGGGUCUGCAGGCUUUCUGCAGGUCCCCGAGGCGCGCGGGACGGCGGCGUCCGGGCUCAGCCCUGGGAGUCAGCCAGAGCCCGGGAGGGACGCCUGGAUCGCGCUCUGCACAAGUCCCGGGACCAGGCGGGAACUCAGACUCCCGUCUGCAGAGCCACUUCCCCCGUCAGGGCUCUGGUCGCGCUAGCCGUUUCCUCCCUCCCCCGCGCGUCCCCUCCUCCGUCCCCUUUCCCUCCCCAGCUCGACCCUGCACCCCCGGACCCGGCCCGGCCCUACCUUCCCGCGGGCGGCCGCUCCGCGGGCUCUGGGGCGUAUCUGGGGGGCUCUGGGGCGGGCCAGGACGGCUGGCGGCACGGCUCGGGGGCGGGCGGCGGCGGGGGCCGGGGAGGCCAUGGCUCUCCGCCCUCCGCCCCUUUGUCCGCCGAGCCUCCCCCGGCCGCCCGCAAGCCCCUGGGGGUCCCCGCCGCGCGCGCUCCCGUGGGGUCCCCGCCGUCCCCGGCCCCAGCGGCUCGCUUCCCUCGGCCGGCCCAGCGCAGGCUCGCCCGCUGCCCCUGCCUUCUCUUCCCGCGGCUCCGCGACGAUCUGCGCGACGCGCGCCCCCUCCUCCCGACCCAUCCCGCCCGGCCCAGUGAGCUAAUUCGCAGCUGGCGGGCGCCCGGCCGGUUGCCACGGCAACCCCUCUCCCAGGGCCCGGCCCCGCGCGGAGCAGCGGUAAACAGGACCUUCUGCCGGACUCGCCCCCUCGCCUCUAGGGGUGGGGGAGAGGUGGCUUAA
This 1026-nucleotide long non-coding RNA is filed under the name Papio anubis (olive baboon). RNAcentral describes it as "lncRNA (ENSPANG00000039802.1)". Lineage: Eukaryota; Metazoa; Chordata; Mammalia; Primates; Cercopithecidae. The record is from RNAcentral.